AGAUGGCGACCGGCGCACGGGUGAGUAACACGUAUCCAACCUGCCGAUAACUCGGGGAUAGCCUUUCGAAAGAAAGAUUAAUACCCGAUGGCAUAAUAGAACCGCAUGGUUUGAUUAUUAAAGAAUUUCGGUUAUCGAUGGGGAUGCGUUCCAUUAGGCAGUUGGUGGGGUAACGGCCCACCAAACCUUCGAUGGAUAGGGGUUCUGAGAAGAAGGUCCCCCACAUUGGAACUGAGGCACGGUCCAA
Molecule: ribosomal RNA, 247 nt
Filed under: uncultured bacterium
Lineage: Bacteria
Description: partial 16S ribosomal RNA
Rfam family: Bacterial small subunit ribosomal RNA
Source: RNAcentral